GAUGAACGCUGGCGGCGUGCCUAAUACAUGCCAGUCGAGCGAACAGACAAGGAGCUUGCUCCUCUGACGUUAGCGGCGGACGGGUGAGUAACACGAGGAUAACCUACCUAUAAGACUGGGAUAACUUCGGGAAACCGGAGCUAAUACCGGAUAAUAUAUUGAACCGCAUGGUUCAAUAGUGAAAGACGGUUUUGCUGUCACUUAUAGAUGGAUCCGCGCCGCAUUAGCUAGUUGGUAAGGUAACGGCUUACCAAGGCAACGAUGCGUAGCCGACCUGAGAGGGUGAUCGGCCACACUGGAACUGAGACACGGUCCAGACUCCUACGGGAGGCAGCAGUAGGGAAUCUUCCGCAAUGGGCGAAAGCCUGACGGAGCAACGCCGCGUGAGUGAUGAAGGUCUUCGGAUCGUAAAACUCUGUUAUUAGGGAAGAACAAAUGUGUAAGUAACUAUGCACGUCUUGACGGUACCUAAUCAGAAAGCCACGGCUAACUACGUG
RNAcentral lists this ribosomal RNA (497 nucleotides) under uncultured bacterium. Its description in RNAcentral is "partial 16S ribosomal RNA". It matches the Rfam family "Bacterial small subunit ribosomal RNA", at positions 28 to 507 of the family's 1533-position model. The record is from RNAcentral.